GGAGGCUUACCUGGCAGUCGAGGGGCAUCGGGAGGGAAGCUUGCUUUCCUUGCCGGCGACCGGCGCACGGGUGAGUAACACGUAUCCAACCUGCCGUCUACUCUUGGCCAGCCUUCUGAAAGGAAGAUUAAUCCAGGAUGGGAUCAUGAGUUCACAUGUCCGCAUGAUUAAAGGUAUUUUCCGGUAGACGAUGGGGAUGCGUUCCAUUAGAUAGUAGGCGGGGUAACGGCCCACCUAGUCAACGAUGGAUAGGGGUUCUGAGAGGAAGGUCCCCCACAUUGGAACUGAGACACGGUCCAAACUCCUACGGGAGGCAGCAGUGAGGAAUAUUGGUCAAUGGGCGAUGGCCUGAACCAGCCAAGUAGCGUGAUGGAUGACUGCCCUAUGGGUUGUAAACUUCUUUUAUAAAGGAAUAAAGUCGGGUAUGCAUACCCGUUUGCAUGUACUUUAUGAAUAAGGAUCGGCUAACUCCGUGCCAGCAGCCGCGGUAAUACGGAGGAUCCGAGCGUUAUCCGGAUUUAUUGGGUUUAAAGGGAGCGUAGAUGGAUGUUUAAGUCAGUUGUGAAAGUUUGCGGCUCAACCGUAAAAUUGCCGUUGAAACUGGUUGACUUGAGUAUAUUUGAGGUAGGCGGAAUUCGUGGUGUAGCGGUGAAAUGCUUAGAUAUCACGAAGAACUCCGAUUGCGAAGGCAGCCUGCUAAGCUGCAACUGACAUUGAGGCUCGAAAGUGUGGGUAUCAAACAGGAUUAGA
Molecule: ribosomal RNA, 750 nt
Filed under: uncultured bacterium
Lineage: Bacteria
Description: bacterial SSU rRNA
Rfam family: Bacterial small subunit ribosomal RNA
Source: RNAcentral